Molecule: long non-coding RNA, 303 nt
Filed under: Hordeum vulgare
Lineage: Eukaryota; Viridiplantae; Streptophyta; Magnoliopsida; Poales; Poaceae
Description: long non-coding RNA (HVUL_LNC015863)
Source: RNAcentral
UUAAUUGAUUUACUUAAUUAGUAGAUUUAGUGCUAGGUUUAGUUAAUUAGUGUUGGGUUAUUUGUUAUUUUUUUUGCUAUUUUUGUUGUCUUUGUUAAUUAUAGGUAGAUUUUCUUUUGUUAAUUAGUGGUGGAUUCUUUUUUAGUUAAUUAGUGGUAGAUUCUGUUUUCAUUAAUGUUUUGAUGUUUAGUGCUAUAUAAGUUUAGUGGUAGGUUUAGUGCUAGGUUUAGUUACUUAGUCAUAAUUAAAAUAAGUAGAAAAAAUAUGAAGAAUAAGUAGAUAAGGGAAGAAGAAUAAGAAGAG